Molecule: transfer RNA, 84 nt
Filed under: Plautia stali symbiont
Lineage: Bacteria; Pseudomonadati; Pseudomonadota; Gammaproteobacteria; Enterobacterales; Enterobacteriaceae
Description: tRNA-Und (NNN) (tRNA-Und-NNN-2-1)
Rfam family: tRNA
About the family: Transfer RNA (tRNA) molecules are approximately 80 nucleotides in length. Their secondary structure includes four short double-helical elements and three loops (D, anti-codon, and T loops). Further hydrogen bonds mediate the characteristic L-shaped molecular structure. tRNAs have two regions of fundamental functional importance: the anti-codon, which is responsible for specific mRNA codon recognition, and the 3' end, to which the tRNAs corresponding amino acid is attached (by aminoacyl-tRNA synthetases). tRNAs cope with the degeneracy of the genetic code in two manners: having more than one tRNA (with a specific anti-codon) for a particular amino acid; and 'wobble' base-pairing, i.e. permitting non-standard base-pairing at the 3rd anti-codon position.
Source: RNAcentral
GUCGAUGUACUCUUAACGGUAAAGCGGUGUGUCCCUGUUAACAGGUGACAACAUUAUAUGCGGGUUCAACUCCCGUCAUCGACC